AACGAACGCUGGCGGCAGGCCUAACACAUGCAAGUCGAGCGCGCCUUCGGGUGAGCGGCGGACGGGUUAGUAACGCGUGGGAACGUGCCCUUUUCUACGGAAUAGCCUCUGGAAACGGAGAGUAAUACCGUAUACGCCCUUUGGGGGAAAGAUUUAUCGGAGAAGGAUCGGCCCGCGUUAGAUUAGGUAGUUGGUGGGGUAAUGGCCUACCAAGCCUACGAUCUAUAGCUGGUUUUAGAGGAUGAUCAGCAACACUGGGACUGAGACACGGCCCAGACUCCUACGGGAGGCAGCAGUGGGGAAUUUUCCGCAAUGGGCGAAAGCCUGACGGAGCAACGCCGCGUGAGGGAUGAAGGCCUCUGGGCUGUAAACCUCUUUUAUCAAGGAAGAAGAUCUGACGGUACUUGAUGAAUAAGCCACGGCUAAUUCCGUG
Molecule: ribosomal RNA, 433 nt
Filed under: uncultured bacterium
Lineage: Bacteria
Description: bacterial SSU rRNA
Rfam family: Bacterial small subunit ribosomal RNA
Source: RNAcentral